RNAcentral lists this ribosomal RNA (821 nucleotides) under Salmonella enterica subsp. enterica serovar Typhimurium. RNAcentral describes it as "partial 23S ribosomal RNA". It matches the Rfam family "Bacterial large subunit ribosomal RNA", at positions 667 to 1400 of the family's 2925-position model. The record is from RNAcentral. Lineage: Bacteria; Pseudomonadati; Pseudomonadota; Gammaproteobacteria; Enterobacterales; Enterobacteriaceae.
CGGAGGGAAACCGAGUCUUAAUUGGGCGUUAAGUUGCAGGGUAUAGACCCGAAACCCGGUGAUCUAGCCAUGGGCAGGUUGAAGGUUGGGUAACACUAACUGGAGGACCGAACCGACUAAUGUUGAAAAAUUAGCGGAUGACCUGUGGCUGGGGGUGAAAGGCCAAUCAAACCGGGAGAUAGCUGGUUCUCCCCGAAAGCUAUUUAGGUAGCGCCUCGUGAAUUCAUCUCCGGGGGUAGAGCACUGUUUCGGCUAGGGGGCCAUCCCGGCUUACCAACCCGAUGCAAACUGCGAAUACCGGAGAAUGUUAUCACGGGAGACACACGGCGGGUGCUAACGUCCGUCGUGAAGAGGGAAACAACCCAGACCGCCAGCUAAGGUCCCAAAGUCAUGGUUAAGUGGGAAACGAUGUGGGAAGGCCCAGACAGCCAGGAUGUUGGCUUAGAAGCAGCCAUCAUUUAAAGAAAGCGUAAUAGCUCACUGGUCGAGUCGGCCUGCGCGGAAGAUGUAACGGGGCUAAACCAUGCACCGAAGCUGCGGCAGCGAACGUAUCACCCAAGACAACUUUACGGAGUUGACGAUUGACGGAGCGAAGCGACGUCAAAGCGUUCAUUAAAGUCGAGUUGGCUUAGGGAUACGUUCGUUGGGUAGGGGAGCGUUCUGUAAGCCUGUGAAGGUGUGUCGUGAGGCAUGCUGGAGGUAUCAGAAGUGCGAAUGCUGACAUAAGUAACGAUAAAGCGGGUGAAAAGCCCGCUCGCCGGAAGACCAAGGGUUCCUGUCCAACGUUAAUCGGGGCAGGGUGAGUCGACCCCUAAGGCGAG